CAGACAUUGUGGUUCAAUGCCGCCAUAUCGCACCCUGGCAUAUAAAUAACCGGUGUGCAACAUGAAGGAACAAGCCCAAAUAAAUCCUUUGGAUAGAAAAAGCAAGCUGAUUUGGGGAAGGCAGCUGCUUCAAAGUUUCUGUGCAACUUUACAGAAGCACCGCCGUCACUUGGAGAAGCUCUUGGUCUGCUGUUCUUACAGUGCCUUGGAUAGUGCGGUCAGAAGGGGCAGGCGAUGGCACCAUGACCCCACUGCAGCCUGCCCAGACAUCCUGUAAUGAGUCUGUCAGUCUGUCCUCAGCCAAGAAAUGCAUCUUCACAUCCUAUGUGACGAAUUUGCUAGAAGGUGAAUGCAAUAUAACCCUUGGCAGAUUCUUCCUGGUAUAAAUGAGGUCUUAUUUUGAGGAAUCAUGAUUAAAUUGAAUCAAGAACAGUCACCUUUCUGAUUAUAAGCUGAAGGUAGUCUCUGAUUUAUUUCUCAUGAUGCAUUUGGUCAUGUUCUGUUGUCUUUGCAAAUCUGUAUUUUUAUCGCAGUGACAUGUUCCUCAGGUUUAGGUUACAUUUCUAAUAAAUAUCCGAUGCCUUGUUGAUUUCCUGUAUCA
Molecule: long non-coding RNA, 601 nt
Filed under: Numida meleagris (helmeted guineafowl)
Lineage: Eukaryota; Metazoa; Chordata; Aves; Galliformes; Numididae
Description: lncRNA (ENSNMEG00000015266.1)
Source: RNAcentral